RNAcentral lists this ribosomal RNA (497 nucleotides) under uncultured bacterium. RNAcentral's name for it is "partial 16S ribosomal RNA". It matches the Rfam family "Bacterial small subunit ribosomal RNA", at positions 28 to 507 of the family's 1533-position model. The record is from RNAcentral.
GAUGAACGCUGGCGGCGUGCCUAAUACAUGCAAGUCGAGCGAACAGACGAGGAGCUUGCUCCUCUGACGUUUGCGGCGGACGUGUGAGUAACACGUGGAUAACCUACCUAUAAGACUGGGAUAACUUCGGGAAACCGGAGCUAAUACCGGAUAAUAUAUUGAACCGCAUGGUUCAAUAGUGAAAGACGGUUUUGCUGUCACUUAUAGAUGGAUCCGCGCCGCAUUAGCUAGUUGGUAAGGUAACGGCUUACCAAGGCAACGAUGCGUAGCCGACCUGAGAGGGUGAUCGGCCACACUGGAACUGAGACACGGUCCAGACUCCUACGGGAGGCAGCAGUAGGGAAUCUUCCGCAAUGGGCGAAAGCCUGACGGAGCAACGCCGCGUGAGUGAUGAAGGUCUUCGGAUCGUAAAACUCUGUUAUUAGGGAAGAACAAAUGUGUAAGUAACUAUGCACGUCUUGACGGUACCUAAUCAGAAAGCCACGGCUAACUACGUG